CUUAUUUUCAUCUUCAGCAGAAUGUCUUGAAUGUCUUGCAUUUGAAGUGCCUUGUUUGAUGAUCAGAGUGUUUAGCAUCAUUUAUUAUACUCCAUCUGUGGACCCCACCAUGCCACACUACACCACACUGGCUCAUCAGAACAUUGGGCCAUCAAAAAGGGUUUUGCAUUCCAAUAUCCACCCUCCUUAGUGCUGCUCUAGUUGGUGAGACAGUGAAAGGCUGACACUUCUUCAAUUGUAUACCAUGGAGCUAAGAGCGGCUUCAAGGCUUGUUGUCUUGGCUGUAUUUGCUACAUCGGCCAUGAAUUUAACCAAAGGUGCUAGUUUGUGGAUGGCCUUGAGCUGUGACAAGCUGUGAAUGGAGGACAAAAACGUUGACUAAACUAAAGGUUAGGUUGCUUCAUACCUUCACAACAUGACACAAGAAAUCCUGGACAAGAGAAUGAACAUUUGGGAAUAGUAUUGUCUUCGACAUUGUUUUACUGUACCUGAGGGCUUUGUGCUGCGAAAAGCUGUUGGUUUUCCACAUAAAAGGAGCUAAUUUGUGCAGACAAUGGUACUUUCUAUCUUGCCUGGUUUUUGUUUUCUGUUUUCUGCAGUUGCAUCUAUUCCUGCCAUGAACUAUAGGAUGUGAUGCCUUUUAUGAUGCUACUUCUUCAAUUGGAUUUUUUCAUGGUUAGGAGACUUCCAACAUGUCAUUCUUGCUUGAAUUAACUCUAACCUGCUAUCUCUAAAAUUUUUUAUUUAACAAUUACAAGGAUUCAAAAAGUCUUUUUUUUUUUUUCAUUAAAGUGGUAAACCAAAAAUUUCUGAAAAUUUCUUUUCUCAGCUAUUAGUUUCUCUGCAAUUGGGAAAAGGUAGCAGCACCUUUUCUAGCCACCUUUUCCCAUUUCUAUCUUGUUUUGCAAUUGAGAGAGACGGAAUUUUUCAAGAUCGUUCAAAUGGUUCAACAAAAAACUUACAUUCUAACAGCUAUUUUUGUUACAUAUUGCUAUCCAUCAAGAGUUGUCUAUUGAGAAUUUAUAACUUCAAAAAGGACGUUAUGAAGCAGAACUUGAUUCUCACUUGAGCUCAUUAAGGGAGAGGCUUGCUGCAGUAUAUAUCUGUCAUUCGUUCCUCUUUCUUUGGUUUACUUAACUCUGAUUCUCUAGAGACAAUUACAAAUUUUCUAGGUUGGGAAGGAAUCUUCAGAGCUUCAUAGAGAGAUCCAAGCUCUGGAAAAGCAUGCCUCCUGUAACAACAGUUAUGACGCAUCCAUUGUUGACACACUGUGGUUGUAUGAGCAGAACUCGAUGCAUGAGUUGUUUCAAGUUUUCAUCAAAGCAUGUCAAUGUCUUCAAGAUAAUGUUGAAACCAUUCUUUCAUUUGAAGAAUCAACGAGCGAUUCAAUCCUGCUCAUGAUUUUCUGCGUCAUUCCAAAUUCAAAUGUAACAAUUUCACUACUAAGAGAUCUGCCACCAAGGCAUUUUAACUAUGGAAGAUUAGUGUAUGUACUUCUACCGAAGAUGGAAUUCUUUCUUUUCUACUUUAGCCUUUGAUAAUCUUAGGGACCUUGACUUUUAAUAACCUAAUAACCUAUCUCAAUUAUUUCAUCUUCAUUUCUUCUUUCAUCCAGUUCAAGUCUGAUAAAGAGGAACCUCAAAAUCUUUUGGUUCAAAAGUUAUAUGCAAACUAAUCAUAAUUCCUUUUCAUGCACAUUAGUUACCGACAAAAUUAGUAGUUACUUAAGCCACCUAAAUAAUAGUUUUUAAGUCAAACUAUUGUCAUUUUUUACAUUGCGCAAGCCCUCUUGUUUGGGGAUAACCAUGGUAAUAAGUAAUUUCAUAUAUUGGAUGCUGCUGUCACCUAUAAAUUAUAUCUGAUCUGACUUGCCAUCUAUACUUAUUUUCAGCUCUUUCUGCAAGCCUUGAUGAUAUUCUACGAAUACUAACUGUCUUGAAGAAACACAUAGUAGUUAACUUUUGUAAAUCUAUGCUUUAUUUGAAGGAUGGGUGCUGCUUGAAAGCAAGUCUUGACUCACCAAGAUGACAAGUGGUUUUCAAAUCCUAGCCGCCACCUCUUUGUUUCUUCCGAUAUAGUCUCUCGUUUGGACCAAGAAAGAGGGAGAGAUCUUACCUCUUUUCUUUUCUCUUUUUCUUUUUGGUGUGUGAUGCCGGCGGCGAGGACGGAGAUAGGCCUCUUCGUCAAGGUUGUAUUGUUGUGAGGAUAUUCUGCGGAAACCUGAUUUUGGGAUGCUUGUAGUUUUUGGUGUUAGCUAGCCAGAUCAGGAGUAGGGUUGGGUGGUGGACAGCUUAGCGGGGUCAUUGAGCAAGUUGCCUUCUAGAUCUUUAUCAAGUUAAUAAACUUUCUUUGUUGUGAACUUAGAACUUCUGUCUUAUGUUUAAUAUCUUGUGAGACACUUUUAUUUGCUUUCGUCAUAUUUCGGGUAUUGUGCCUCUAUGUUGUUUUUGAUAGUUAAUGUCUUUGUUAAAGGUUGUUUGAUUUAGUGUGAGACAGGUUUUGAGAC
Molecule: long non-coding RNA, 2506 nt
Organism: Dioscorea cayenensis subsp. rotundata (Guinea yam)
Lineage: Eukaryota; Viridiplantae; Streptophyta; Magnoliopsida; Dioscoreales; Dioscoreaceae
Exons: 7
Source: RefSeq, a predicted model, not a curated record